UGGCGACCAGUUCUAAGGAGUGCAGCAGGCUCGAAACUUACCGAAUUAUAGAUUAGAGGUAGUGAUGAAACGUUUAUAUAAAGAUACUGGUAAAGCAAGUAUUAGCAACUGGAGGGUAAGUCUGGUGCCAGCAGCCGCGGUAAUACCAGCUCCAGGAGCUUCUUCGAUAUGUUGCGGUUAAAACGUCCGUAGUCGCGGCCUGGGACUGACCUGUAAUCUAUUUGGUCAACAAAUAGAUAGGGGCAGUAGCAGGCUGGAAAAGAGCAAUUUGGUGUCAGCUAAUGGUAUGGGGAGGGGUGAAGUCUGAGGAUCCAUGCAGGAGGAGCAAAGGCGAAAGCACUGACAAAGAUUGAUUCUGUUGAUCAAGGACAGAGGCUAGAGGAUCGAAUACGAUUAGAUACCGUAGUAGUUCUAGCAGUGACCGAUGAUGAUUUUGCUUAUGGCAAUAGAGAAAUCAAAAUAGAUCUCCGGGGGGAGUACAUGCGCAAGCAAGAAACUUAAAGAAAUUGACGGAAGACUACCACAAGGUGUGGAUUGUUCGGCUUAAUUUGACUCAACGCGGGAAAACUUACCAAGCUUAUUUGUUCAACGAGUAUAUAUACGAGAGCAAAAUGGUGGUGCAUGGCCGUUCCUAACAGAUGGAGUGAUUUUGUGAUUAACUUCCGUAAUCUGUGUAAUCUCAGAAUAGCUUGUUCGAAAGAACAAUUCGAGGCAAGAACAGGUCAGUGAUGUCCUUUGAUAGCUUGGGCCGCACGCGCAAUACAAUGUUUUAUGUAGUAAGAUAUAGAUAAAAAAUAGAACAUGAGGGAUUGAGAGCUGAAAAGCACUCAUGAACACGGAAUAGCUAGUAAUCGUCAGUUCAAUAUACGGCGAUGAAUAUGUCCCUGUUC
This 890-nucleotide ribosomal RNA is filed under the name Ameson pulvis. RNAcentral's name for it is "SSU rRNA". It matches the Rfam family "Microsporidia small subunit ribosomal RNA", at positions 263 to 1181 of the family's 1311-position model. The record is from RNAcentral. Lineage: Eukaryota; Fungi; Microsporidia; Pereziidae.